This 77-nucleotide transfer RNA is filed under the name Clostridiales bacterium. RNAcentral's name for it is "tRNA-Val". It matches the Rfam family "tRNA". From Rfam's summary of the family: Transfer RNA (tRNA) molecules are approximately 80 nucleotides in length. Their secondary structure includes four short double-helical elements and three loops (D, anti-codon, and T loops). Further hydrogen bonds mediate the characteristic L-shaped molecular structure. tRNAs have two regions of fundamental functional importance: the anti-codon, which is responsible for specific mRNA codon recognition, and the 3' end, to which the tRNAs corresponding amino acid is attached (by aminoacyl-tRNA synthetases). tRNAs cope with the degeneracy of the genetic code in two manners: having more than one tRNA (with a specific anti-codon) for a particular amino acid; and 'wobble' base-pairing, i.e. permitting non-standard base-pairing at the 3rd anti-codon position. Lineage: Bacteria; Bacillati; Bacillota; Clostridia; Eubacteriales. RNAcentral also lists the same sequence under 2 other names. The record is from RNAcentral.
GGAGGCAUAGCUCAGCUGGUUAGAGCGUUCGCUUCACAUGCGAGAGGUCCUGGGUUCGAGCCCCUGUGUCUCCACCA